ACACUGAACAUUGAGCCUUGAUGUGUAGGAUAGGUGGGAGGCUUUGAAGUGUGGACGCCAGUCUGCAUGGAGCCGACCUUGAAAUACCACCCUUUAAUGUUUGAUGUUCUAACGUUGACCCGUAAUCCGGGUUGCGGACAGUGUCUGGUGGGUAGUUUGACUGGGGCGGUCUCCUCCUAAAGAGUAACGGAGGAGCACGAAGGUUGGCUAAUCCUGGUCGGACAUCAGGAGGUUAGUGCAAUGGCAUAAGCCAGCUUGACUGCGAGCGUGACGGCGCGAGCAGGUGCGAAAGCAGGUCAUAGUGAUCCGGUGGUUCUGAAUGGAAGGGCCAUCGCUCAACGGAUAAAAGGUACUCCGGGGAUAACAGGCUGAUACCGCCCAAGAGUUCAUAUCGACGGCGGUGUUUGGCACCUCGAUGUCGGCUCAUCACAUCCUGGGGCUGAAGUAGGUCCCAAGGGUAUGGCUGUUCGCCAUUUAAAGUGGUACGCGAGCUGGGUUUAGAACGUCGUGAGACAGUUCGGUCCCUAUCUGCCGUGGGCGCUGGAGAACUGAGGGGGGCUGCUCCUAGUACGAGAGGACCGGAGUGGACGCAUCACUGGUGUUCGGGUUGUCAUGCCAAUGGCACUGCCCGGUAGCUAAAUGCGGAAGAGAUAAGUGCUGAAAGCAUCUAAGCACGAAACUUGCC
RNAcentral lists this ribosomal RNA (685 nucleotides) under Escherichia coli. Its description in RNAcentral is "partial 23S ribosomal RNA". It matches the Rfam family "Bacterial large subunit ribosomal RNA", at positions 2114 to 2798 of the family's 2925-position model. The record is from RNAcentral. Lineage: Bacteria; Pseudomonadati; Pseudomonadota; Gammaproteobacteria; Enterobacterales; Enterobacteriaceae.